This 227-nucleotide ribosomal RNA is filed under the name uncultured bacterium. RNAcentral describes it as "partial 16S ribosomal RNA". It matches the Rfam family "Bacterial small subunit ribosomal RNA", at positions 109 to 334 of the family's 1533-position model. The record is from RNAcentral.
AGUAACGCGUGAGGAACCUGCCUCAAAGAGGGGGACAACAGUUGGAAACGACUGCUAAUACCGCAUAAGCCCACAGCUCGGCAUCGAGCAGAGGGAAAAGGAGUGAUCCGCUUUGAGGUGGCCUCGCGUCCGAUUAGCUAGUUGGUGAGGUAAUGGCCCACCAAGGCGACGAUCGGUAGCCGGACUGAGAGGUUGAACGGCCACAUUGGGACUGAGACACGGCCCAG